UACGGGGGGGGCAAGCGUUGUUCGGAAUUACUGGGCGUAAAGGGCGCGUAGGCGGUGCUCUAAGUCGGAUGUGAAAACUCUGGGCUCAACCCAGAGCCUGCAUCCGAAACUGGAGUGCUAGAGUUCUGGAGGGGGUAGCGGAAUUCCUGGUGUAGCGGUGAAAUGCGUAGAUAUCAGGAGGAACACCGGUGGCGAAGGCGGGUCUCUGGGCCGAUACUGACGCUGAGGAGCGAAAGCGUGGGGAGCGAACAGG
This 253-nucleotide ribosomal RNA is filed under the name uncultured bacterium. Its description in RNAcentral is "partial 16S ribosomal RNA". It matches the Rfam family "Bacterial small subunit ribosomal RNA", at positions 524 to 776 of the family's 1533-position model. The record is from RNAcentral.